This 492-nucleotide ribosomal RNA is filed under the name uncultured bacterium. Its description in RNAcentral is "partial 16S ribosomal RNA". It matches the Rfam family "Bacterial small subunit ribosomal RNA", at positions 29 to 507 of the family's 1533-position model. The record is from RNAcentral.
AGUGAACGCUGGCGGUAGGCCUAACACAUGCAAGUCGAACGGCAGCACAGUAAGAGCUUGCUCUUACGGGUGGCGAGUGGCGGACGGGUGAGGAAUACAUCGGAAUCUACUUUUUCGUGGGGGAUAACGUAGGGAAACUUACGCUAAUACCGCAUACGACCUGCGGGUGAAAGCAGGGGAUCUUCGGACCUUGCGCGAUUGAAUGAGCCGAUGUCGGAUUAGCUAGUUGGCGGGGUAAAGGCCCACCAAGGCGACGAUCCGUAGCUGGUCUGAGAGGAUGAUCCGCCACACUGGAACGUAGACACGGUCCCGGCUCCUACGGGAGGCAGCAGUGGGGAAUAUUGGACAAUGGGGGCAAGCCUGAUCCAGCCAUACCGCGUGGGUGAAGAAGGCCUUCGGGUUGUAAAGCCCUUUUGUUGGGAAAGAAAAGCAGCAGGUUAAUACCCCGCUGUUCUGACGGUACCCAAAGAAUAAGCACCGGCUAACUUCGUG